GGGGCUGUAGCUCAGUGGCAGAGUGCUUGCCUAAAGCAUGUGUGAGCCAUUGGGUUCAAUCCUCAGCAUCA
This 71-nucleotide transfer RNA is filed under the name Marmota monax (woodchuck). RNAcentral's name for it is "tRNA.Leu". The record is from RNAcentral. Lineage: Eukaryota; Metazoa; Chordata; Mammalia; Rodentia; Sciuridae.